This 494-nucleotide ribosomal RNA is filed under the name uncultured bacterium. RNAcentral's name for it is "partial 16S ribosomal RNA". It matches the Rfam family "Bacterial small subunit ribosomal RNA", at positions 30 to 507 of the family's 1533-position model. The record is from RNAcentral.
AUUGAACGCUGGCGGCAUGCUUUACACAUGCAAGUCGAACGGCAGCGGGGAGGAGCUUGCUUCUCUGCCGGCGAGUGGCGAACGGGUGAGUAAUACAUCGGAACGUGUCGAGAAGAGGGGGAUAACCACCCGAAAGGGUGGCUAAUACCGCAUAAAUUCUGAGGAAGAAAGCUGGGGACCUGGGAAUAGGCCUAGCGCUUUUUGAGCGGCCGAUGUCGGAUUAGCUAGUUGGUGAGGUAAAGGCUCACCAAGGCGAGGAUCUGUAGCGGGUCUGAGAGGAUGAUCCGCCACACUGGGACUGAGACACGGCCCAGACUCCUACGGGAGGCAGCAGUGGGGAAUUUUGGACAAUGGGGGCAACCCUGAUCCAGCCAUGCCGCGUGUAUGAAGAAGGCCUUAGGGUUGUAAAGUACUUUUGUUAGGGAAGAAAAGUCAGCUGUGAAUAAUGGCUGAUACUGACGGUACCUAAAGAAUAAGCACCGGCUAACUACGUG